Molecule: ribosomal RNA, 497 nt
Filed under: uncultured bacterium
Lineage: Bacteria
Description: partial 16S ribosomal RNA
Rfam family: Bacterial small subunit ribosomal RNA
Source: RNAcentral
GAUGAACGCUGGCCGCGUGCCUAAUACAUGCAAGUCGAGCGAACAGACGAGGAGCUUGCUCCUCUGACGUUAGCGGCGGACGGGUGAGUAACACGUGGAUAACCUACCUAUAAGACUGGGAUAAAUUCGGGAAACCGGAGCUAAUACCGGAUAAUAUAUUGAACCGCAUGGUUCAAUAGUGAAAGACGGUUUUGCUGUCACUUAUAGAUGGAUCCGCGCCGCAUUAGCUAGUUGGUAAGGUAACGGCUUACCAAGGCAACGAUGCUUAGCCGCCCUGAGAGGGUGAUCGGCCACACUGGAACUGAGACACGGUCCAGACUCCUACGGGAGGCAGCAGUAGGGAAUCUGCCGCAAUGGGCGAAAGCUUGACGGAGCAACGCCGCGUGAGUGAUGAAGGUCUUCGGAUCGUAAAACUCUGUUAUUAGGGAAGAACAAAUGUGUAAGUAACUAUGCACGUCUUGACGGUACCUAAUCAGAAAGCCACGGCUAACUACGUG